UUCAGGGCUUUACAGUUAACCUCAGUAAUUCUCAACAAAUGAACUUGUAAACAGAUGAACUAUUGAGAACGACAGUUCCUUCCUUUACCUAAGCUCAGUUCCACAAGAUCGAAUUUUGGUUCCAACAUUGCACGUGUGUUUCUCAUUAAUAUGUAUGAAAUGCUAUGAUCUCACGAUUUGUUGAUUGAUUCGUCGUUGUACCUUGUUGGUCCAUAUGUGGUUCAAUUUUUUUUAUCCGGACGUCUCAUGUGUGUUUGAAAUAUUAUGAUAUGACGUAUUCAAAUUUUGUUAUAUUGCAGGACACAUGGAUUUCGAAUUUGUAGUCCCGGAGAAUGCACAGCUGAGGGCCCACAUCUUACAGAGAAGCAAUCUGCGGUACGUGAAAAUAAUCCUCGAGCAUUUCGAUGACCGACAGUGCAUGGACUUCAGUAACUCAUGCCUUAGGUUCUUGUCCGAGGUUCUAGAUCUCCAAUCAACAUUAAUUAUGAUGGAUUCAUUUUCAUGUUAUCUUAUUCCGUGCUACUGGAAAAUAUUUAAAUCCUUCACAUCAUUGGAAUUGUUGCUUUGGUGGAGAUCUAUGUGCAAAAGGACGAUUAUGACAAGUUGCGUUCAUCAAUUGACUUCCAUGAUAACUUUGAUUAAAUUGAUGUUAUUAUUGCUUAUUUAUCUAUAAUGUAUGACUGCUUUUCACAUUAGUAGGGUCACAAGAGAAACAAUGAAUUUAUAUGACAUACGUGAUGGUUGUUCAGCGUUUGAUACUGUUGAAUGAAGUCGGAAUAUUUGUUAAUGCGUAGUCUUAUUCGUCACAUUUCUAUAUUCGACAGUUUAAUCAUCGACACAUACUUUGACUUCGAUUUGUUAAGGUUGCUACCAUGGUGUAGUAUGAUUCAAAUGCAGAUGAAAGUCGAUUUCUAAUGUAGACAAUAAGGACGGUCACUGCAUCGCAAGUGGUUGGAACUUAGGGUGCUUUAUAGGGAACAACGUUCUAUUUUGACUUUUAUAUAGUUGUUACAAUUAUUGUUGUAGAAACGUCUGUCAUAUUCAGUCGUAAAUUUAUUUGGUAAUAUUAUCCAUAUUAUUCUUGUUGGGCUAGAGAUUCAUAGUUUUAAUGUUGAAAACCCAGGACGGUGACGAUGUGUGUUCCAAAUGCACACAUCGUUGACACACUCGUUCGUUCCAUUUGUCAUUGUUUAACAUGAGUACUUCAAUUUGUUAUAUCAUAAUUA
Molecule: long non-coding RNA, 1226 nt
Filed under: Olea europaea subsp. europaea
Lineage: Eukaryota; Viridiplantae; Streptophyta; Magnoliopsida; Lamiales; Oleaceae
Source: RNAcentral